This 4403-nucleotide long non-coding RNA is filed under the name Triticum aestivum (bread wheat). Its description in RNAcentral is "long non-coding RNA (TAES_LNC012375)". Lineage: Eukaryota; Viridiplantae; Streptophyta; Magnoliopsida; Poales; Poaceae. The record is from RNAcentral.
UCAGCCACUCCCGUGCGUGCUGCUGGAUAGGGUUUGCCGCCACCCUCACUGGUCGCCGCCGCCGCCCUCAUCGGUCGCCGCCGCCGCCCUCACCGGUCGCCGCCGCCGUCGGUUUCCCCUACAUGGCCGGUGGAUAGGCCAUCCCGCCGGUCCAUUCCCGCCCCACCCCCAUCCCGCGCGUGGAAUCCCCUUUGACUCCCAGCCGCCCCCGCCGACGCCCACCAGCCACGCCUGCCGGCGGGCCGCCUCGCAUCGCCCGAUCCGCCGCCCAUCCCGCCUCCUCACCCAGGUUCGUCCGGAGCUCCUCCUCCUCCCACCGAUACUGCCUCUGCUUGCUUGCGAUUGCCGCUGGAUCCGCGCUUGCUGCCGCUCUGGGCCGGGGAAUGGCCGGAUCUCUGCCCCGGGGACCGAGGAAUGGCCGAAUCUCGUCUGGGAUUCAGUGUUGAAAAACUUGAAAUGGUAGCGGUAGGUGGCGGCUUGGAUCUCACCAGCAAUGGACUGUGCGGGUCUCCUACCCAGGAGGAGGACUAGGAGGAGCAGGAGGAGGGGAGGCCUGCUGGGCGCGCGCAGGAGGCUCCCCGCCGGUCCCCGAAGCCUAAACUGCAAGGUGAGCUCGUCCCCUUCUCUUCUUCCCUAUGGAUCAGUGUCCUGGCUCAUGUUCUCUGUUCUGUACAUGUAUGCAGUUUAUUUUCAGAGUACUUGUUGUGUGCAAAAUCCUACCCUGGCGCAUGUUGUUGGUUGUUUAAUUCUGGAAUCACAAGUUAAUGCAUUUUGCUAUGUGGGUACUACAAUCUUAUAUGGGCAACAAGUUCAAUAUGGUUUUUAGAAAAGGAAAGUCCAAUCUGGUUUUUAGAAAAGGCAAGUCCAAUCUGGUCAGUAGCUAGGCAAAUACAAUUUGCAAUUCCUGCCUUGCCGUAACAAGCUUGAUUUGGUAUGGUAGAAAAAUAGAACUCCUAAUAUCUCGCCCUCCCCCGAGGAUUCUGUGCCACUCCACGCCGGCAAGGCUUAAGCCUUCUUCUUCACGUUAUUUUUUUCUAAUAAGAUCACCGUUCGUAAAGAAAAAUCCCAUAGAUCGUGAUCAUCUAAAGCAAAAGCCCUAGCGAGUCUGCCGAGGCCUAGCGAGUCUGCCGGCUUUGUCGUCCUCAUGCCGCCGCCAUGCCUGUGCUUGGGCGCCAUCUAUUGUGGCUUCUUCUCCACCAACUCGAGCGAUUGAUCUCCUCUUUUCCCAUGCCGUCAUGGUAUCCUUGCUGACAUGUGUUCGUCCAUUAUGUCCUGCAGAUCCACCCACGCCCUCUCCAUUGCCACUCCACCGGUCGCGUAGAGAAGAUCGAGAAACGCAGCCUAACGCCGGUGUCGAGCUGAUUCCGGGGAUGAUUCCACUCAAACGUAAUGAACAUAUAUGAACAGGUUUGCAGUACGUCCAUGCCUUUGGGGCAUCUGGAGCUUCACAUAAUUGCUAAUUAGUGGCUGGGAUUUUGACGUCGCCUCUUAUACAUAUAUAGAGUUGCACUGUGAUUAAAUUUAUAUUGCUUUAAUAAUGUUCAAGCUUGGAAAAUGAUGCUCAGUUCUAGACAAUGGAAAUAAGUUGUCAUUAUUUCAGAACUUAUCCGUGCACCGAGACUUGCUACUUUGAUUCUGUUGUUUGCUAGAGAGAAUAGCUAUGUAACCUGGCCGACCUCUCUAACCUCAUUUAUGAAUUUGGUUUCUUAGAGUUCAACCAUGUCUUUCAAAAAUCAAACUAAAACAUAUUCCAUUUAUUUAUCCCACUGUUUAUAGGCAAUCUGGUCAUACCUUUGUAGUUCUAUUUGGAAGACAGUUAGAGAACAUUAGCUACCAACAAUAGCACUAUUUUUUGUCCGGCGAGGACAUCGACAUGCAGCCUGCUACGGACUCCACCACCAAUCAUCCUCAUGUAGUGGCGUGAGGUGCCCAUGUGUCAAGAUGGUGGUGCAACGGCUGGCAACAGCAUGUCUGGAUGCCAUGGGCAGAUGGGUGACAGUGAUAUACGUCCUACAUAGAUGUAUGAUUUCCUCUCUUCCACUGGAUUAUGAUGAAAUUAAGGAUCAAGUAUCAUAUGCUUGCAUGAUAGCUACGUACAGUUUUUCUGUACAAAUGGUGUGUUGCACUGCUAUUUUGUUGAAAAGACAUUAUCUUGCGGAUCCUUUUAUUUCAUAGUUUCUUUCCCUUAUAAUAUUUAUUGAUGAUUUGGUUGAUUUCUUGACUAGAGGAUUUGAAGAUACAAAUAAUUAUUAUUUUAUGAAUACGUGGUAUGAUCAAAAUAUUAUUUACAUACAGGUAUACAAAUAUUAUUUAUGUACAGUUGAAUAUUUCUAGGCUUUUCUUUCUGUUCGUCCCAGACAUGUUUGCUUGGAUUAAAAACUGUUAUAGCGUCACCUUAGAUUUUAAACAUUUCUUGUGUGUAACUUGACAUGAUGUGUACCUAAUUAUAUAUUUUCUUCUGCAUGAUAUGUUGGUCUUUCUCAAUGCACUCCAUCUCAGCCGCUUCAGGUCACCAUGAACUCAGUCCAUCAGUGUUACAAAUUUAUGAGUUCUUCCUUUUAUAUCUAUUAUAUUCAUGCCAAACUACAUUUAUACUACCAAAACCAUUCUAGUUGAUACAUCACAUACACUUCUCAAAUAUGUUUUCAUUGGCAAAAAAAUCAUCGCAUGCUUCCAUUUAUACUACCAAAACCAUUCAGGAAGUAACACAUGUCCAUCUAUACAUCCUUCCAUUGGCAAAAAAAUCAUCGCAUUUUUUGUGUGUUUCAUUUAUAGGUUAAAUGGUAUACAAAUUUUUUGGUUAUGUUCAUAUAAUUUUGUCAUGUAGUUUGUAGUGUUCUUAAUAAGGAAAAAUGCUAUAGCUACCUUUUUUAUUCCAAACUCAUGCGGAGACACGUGUAGUUUUAUCCACACGAUAAUAUUAAUUUUGUCACUGGACCGUAUAUAUGAACCCAUUUUUGUAUAUAGUUUUCAUAAGAUAAAACAUUUAUAUGUCUAUUUAAUUUCUUAUUUUGAAUUUUUUUAUACAUAAAAUAUUUGUAGUUUUUAUUCAUGCAGUAAGAAUGUUCUUUAUGUGUUGACCAUAUAUCUCAAACGAUGGCAGUUUAUAUAACUUUCUAGUAUUUAAUUCCGUAGUAAGAAUGUUCUUUAUGUGUUGACCAUAUAUCUCAAACGAUGACCAUAUAUCAAAGCUUAUUUGAUCCGAUAUAUCUGAGGCGUUUACUAUGAUUGCUAUGACUUUUAAUAAUCAGUAAUUAUAACCUGUGAAUGUUGGAUGUUAUGUCUUCUUGCACAACGCGUUGAAUGUUGUACAAUGGAUUGAUAAGUUUCAUCAGCAUUGCUUGCUUCCACAUGGCAUGUGUGACAUGCUAUUGAUCAUCUAGCGAGGAGACGCCACAUAUAAACGUCGAGCUCGCAGAUGUGUCAUGCUAUAACAACCUCCUUUAAAAUGUUGUAUCAUCUGCCACAAAAUUGAUAGUUAAUUCAAUAUUAUUGUGUCAUUGUAUUACUUUUUUUAAUGAUUUGAGAUUACUCACCACAUGCCAGCCAAUGUGCACGUCUCUUUUUUGAUAUAUUAUUAGAAACUCCUGAUUUGAGCUGGUUAAUAUUUUUGGUAGUCAAAAUUACUGAAAUAUUAUAAACUACAAAAAUAAGGAUCGACCCCAGCUUGCUAAUCCAGAGCAUAGCCCUAUUUUUUUGCUGAUCUCAUCGCAUGAAAUACUCUUUUUUUGGCUGAUCUCAUCGCAUGAUAUACUCCCUGUGUAAAACCCGGACUGGAGUGCUCUAGAUUGGCUUAUAUUUAAUACGGGCUGAAACUUUCCAUCCUUAGCCAAUACUAUAUUAGAGAUGCUAAAAAAAGCCAAUACUAUAUUAGUACUUUUGAUUUCAGUUGACACCGGAUUGGUUACUCAUAUAUACAUGGAUGUGCGUAUGUGGCCAGGACUUAUGUACGUGUCCGACCUGCCCUCUUUUACUUUUUCUUAGCAUGAGGUCUGGACAACUGCUUAUGUGUAUACGUGAUCAUGACUCUUUUUGACGGGCUAUUUCUAAUUCUUUCUAUUUUAAGGAAAUAUUUCUAAUUCUUUCUAUGUCCCAUUUUGUAGAUUUGCUUCAGAUCACGGAAGCUUGGGUUGAUGGAGUGCUUGUCUUUAGUUUUUGUUUUGACUUUGUGAAACUUGCUACCUAUGAUGAAACUGUGUAAUAUUGAUGAAACUAUGUAUAUGUAUGGAUGAAACUUGCUACUAUUGGUAAACUAUUGGUAACAUGUGUUGGAUAUGUGUUCGAUAUAUAUGUGUUCAUGACUAUUGGUAAUAUGUGUUGAAUAUGCUAUAUUGGUCAUAUAAAUAUAUUUGUUUGAUUUUCUGUGAAAAUGAAUUGAUAUAAGAAAAAAUAUAUUAAAUGGG